This is a non-coding RNA of Cinara cedri, 366 nucleotides long. NCBI's taxonomy places the organism in Eukaryota, Metazoa, Arthropoda, Insecta, Hemiptera, Aphididae. The record is from the annotation of a GenBank genome assembly.
GACGUAUUUUAGCUACUAGAAAAUGCUACUAAAAUGUUACCGUAAAAUAUUUGAUUGGAGCAGAAUUUUUAAAAUGUGUUUACAGUCACAAAAAUAAAACCGCAUACACCACAGUACGUGUACAAUCGAUACAUUCUAAACUUCGCUCAGAAUCUAAAAAUAAUUUACAUUGUACAAAAACUAUUGGGUGGAGACUGGCGGUGUCCUGAAAGUAUUCUCACUGCACAGAUAUCAUCAUGAAAUAGUCAUAAAAUCAUGUUUUGUGUCACUUCCGCUACAUGUUCGUGAGAAUUGUAAGAGGAUGUUAACCCCCAGGACUCCGGGACACCUCUCCUAAAUACUCAUCACUGUACGUUAUAUUAGAUA